AGGGCACUACCAGGAGUGGAGCCUGCGGCUUAAUUUGACUCAACACGGGAAAACUCACCCGGCCCGGACACUGGAAGGAUUGACAGAUUGAGAGCUCUUUCUUGAUUCAGUGGGUGGUGGUGCAUGGCCGUUCUUAGUUGGUGGAGUGAUUUGUCUGGUUAAUUCCGAUAACGAACGAGACUCUAGCCUACUAAAUAGAUAGUCGGCUUACAAACGUCGACUAGACUUCUUAGAGGGACAGGCGGUGAUUCAACCGCACGAAACAGAGCAAUAACAGGUCUGUGAUGCCCUUAGAUGUCCGGGGCCGCACGCGCGCUACACUGAAGUGAUCAGCGUGCUUUUUCAGCCUACUCUGUCAAGAGUGGGAAACCAAAUGAACCUUCUUCGUGAUUGGGAUAGGGGAUUGUAAUUAUUCCCCUUGAACGAGGAAUUCCCAGUAAGCGCGAGUCAUAAGCUCGCGUUGAUUACGUCCCUGCCCUUUGUACACACCGCCCGUCGCUACUACCGAUUGAAUGUUUU
Molecule: ribosomal RNA, 519 nt
Filed under: uncultured eukaryote
Lineage: Eukaryota
Description: SSU rRNA
Rfam family: Eukaryotic small subunit ribosomal RNA
Source: RNAcentral